AGAUGAACGCUGGCGGCGCGCCUAACACAUGCAAGUCGAACGAUUAAAGCACCUUCGGGUGUGUAUAGAGUGGCGAACGGGUGAGUAACACGUGACCAACCUGCCUCUUACAUUGGGACAACCAAAAGAAAUUCUGGCUAAUACCAAAUACUCCGCACAUAUCACAUGAUGUAUGCGGGAAAGCUUUUGCGGUAAGAGAUGGGGUCGCGGCCCAUUAGGUAGACGGCGGGGUAGAAGCCCACCGUGCCGAUGAUGGGUAGCCGGGUUGAGAGACCGACCGGCCACAUUGGGACUGAGAUACGGCCCAGACUCCUACGGGAGGCAGCAGUGGGGAAUAUUGCGCAAUGGGGGAAACCCUGACGCAGCAACGCCGCGUGCGGGAUGAAGGCCUUCGGGUUGUAAACCGCUUUCAGCAGGGAAGACAUCGACGGUACCUGCAGAAGA
This 444-nucleotide ribosomal RNA is filed under the name uncultured bacterium. RNAcentral's name for it is "bacterial SSU rRNA". It matches the Rfam family "Bacterial small subunit ribosomal RNA", at positions 28 to 488 of the family's 1533-position model. The record is from RNAcentral.